RNAcentral lists this unclassified non-coding RNA (89 nucleotides) under Pseudomonas palleroniana. Lineage: Bacteria; Pseudomonadati; Pseudomonadota; Gammaproteobacteria; Pseudomonadales; Pseudomonadaceae. The record is from RNAcentral.
UGUGGGAGGGGGCUUGCUCCCGAUAGCUGUGUUUCUGCCAGUUCAUCUUUGACUGACGCACAGCAAUCGGGAGCAAGCCCCCUCCCACA